UGCNAGUCGAGCGGUAACAGACAUAAAGAUUCAGCUUGCUGAAUCCGGUGCUGACGAGCGGCGAACGGGUGAGUAACGCGUAGGAAUCUACCCAGUAGCGGGGGAUAGCCCGAGGAAACUCGGAUUAAUACCGCAUACGCCCUGAGGGGGAAAGGGGGCAGUUUACUGCUCUCACUAUUGGAUGAGCCUGCGUAAGAUUAGCUUGUUGGUGGGGUAAUGGCCUACCAAGGCAACGAUCUUUAGCUGGUCUGAGAGGACGAUCAGCCACAUUGGGACUGAGACACGGCCCAGACAUCUACGGAUGGCAGCAGUUAAGAAUAUUGGACAAUGGGGGCAACCCUGAUCCAGGUAUACCGCGUGUGUGAAGAAGGCCCUAGGGUUGUAAAGCACUUUAAUCAGAGAAGAAGCAUUUUAAGUUAAUACCUUAUUAUGUUGACGUUACCUGAAGAAUAAGGACCGGCUAACUCCGUGCCAGCAGCCGCGGUAAUACGGAGGGUCCAAGCGUUAAUCGGAAUUACUGGGCGUAAAGCGCGCGUAGGCGGUUUAGCAAGUUGUAUGUGAAAGCCCUGGGCUCAACCUAGGAACUGCAUUCAAAACUACUAAGCUAGAGUACGAGAGAGGAGAGUAGAAUUUCUGGUGUAGCGGUGAAAUGCGUAGAUAUCNGAAGGAAUACCAAUGGCGAAGGCAGCUCUCUGGCUCGUCACUGACGCUGAGGUGCGAAAGCGUGGGUAGCAAACAGGAUUAGAUACCCUGGUAGUCCACGCCGUAAACGAUGAGAACUAGCCGUUGGGCAGAUUUAACUGUUCAGUGGCACAGCUAACGCAUUAAGUUCUCCGCCUGGGGAGUACGGCCGC
This 854-nucleotide ribosomal RNA is filed under the name uncultured bacterium. RNAcentral describes it as "bacterial SSU rRNA". It matches the Rfam family "Bacterial small subunit ribosomal RNA", at positions 56 to 889 of the family's 1533-position model. The record is from RNAcentral.